UACGAAGGGGGCUAGCGUUGUUCGGAAUUACUGGGCGUAAAGCGCACGUAGGCGGAUUCUUAAGUCAGGGGUGAAAUCCCGGGGCUCAACCUCGGAACUGCCUUUGAUACUGGCAAUCUCGAGUCCGGAAGAGGUGGGUGGAAUUCCUAGUGUAGAGGUGAAAUUCGUAGAUAUUAGGAAGAACACCAGUGGCGAAGGCGGCCCACUGGUCCGGUACUGACGCUGAGGUGCGAAAGCGUGGGGAGCAAGCAGG
RNAcentral lists this ribosomal RNA (253 nucleotides) under uncultured bacterium. RNAcentral's name for it is "partial 16S ribosomal RNA". It matches the Rfam family "Bacterial small subunit ribosomal RNA", at positions 524 to 776 of the family's 1533-position model. The record is from RNAcentral.